RNAcentral lists this ribosomal RNA (292 nucleotides) under uncultured bacterium. Its description in RNAcentral is "partial 16S ribosomal RNA". It matches the Rfam family "Bacterial small subunit ribosomal RNA", at positions 505 to 796 of the family's 1533-position model. The record is from RNAcentral.
GUGCCAGCAGCCGCGGUAAAACGUAGGAUCCGAGCGUUAUCCGAAUUCACUGGGCGUAAAGCGCGUGUAGGCGGCUUUGUAAGUUGGAUGUAAAAUCUCCCGGCUCAACUGGGAGGGGACGUUCAAGACUGCAAGGCUCGAGGGCAGUAGAGGGAGGCGGAAUUCCCGGUGUAGUGGUGAAAUGCGUAGAUAUCGGGAGGAACACCAGAGGCGAAGGCGGCCUCCUGGACUGCAACUGACGCUCAGACGCGAAAGCUAGGGGAGCAAACGGGAUUAGAAACCCUUGUAGUCC